Pieris brassicae (large cabbage white) is the source of this 151-nucleotide long non-coding RNA. RefSeq lists it as uncharacterized. The record is from RefSeq and is a predicted model, not a curated record. Lineage: Eukaryota; Metazoa; Arthropoda; Insecta; Lepidoptera; Pieridae. The transcript has 3 exons.
GCGAAGAAAAACUUUGUUGUUGGUUGUUAAGAAAUUUAUACAAAACCAUAAUAUCAACAGUAUUUUUACAGAUUUUUCAACCCUGUCCUGCUUAUCACACCAAUACAGCGUGGAAACAAAGGGUCAAAUGUGUAUACAAUUAGUAGAAAAU